UACGUAGGGUGCAAGCGUUGUCCGGAAUUAUUGGGCGUAAAGAGCUCGUAGGCGGUCUGUCGCGUCGGCUGUGAAAACCCGUGGCUCAACCCCGGGCCUGCAGUCGAUACGGGCAGACUAGAGUGCGGUAGGGGAGACUGGAAUUCCUGGUGUAGCGGUGAAAUGCGCAGAUAUCAGGAGGAACACCGGUGGCGAAGGCGGCCCUCUGGACGGUGACUGACGCUGAGACGCGAAAGCGUGGGGAGCAAACAGG
Molecule: ribosomal RNA, 253 nt
Filed under: uncultured bacterium
Lineage: Bacteria
Description: partial 16S ribosomal RNA
Rfam family: Bacterial small subunit ribosomal RNA
Source: RNAcentral